This 215-nucleotide ribosomal RNA is filed under the name uncultured bacterium. RNAcentral's name for it is "partial 16S ribosomal RNA". It matches the Rfam family "Bacterial small subunit ribosomal RNA", at positions 1285 to 1500 of the family's 1533-position model. The record is from RNAcentral.
GUCUCAGUCGGAUUGAAGGCUGAAAUUCGCCUUCAUGAAGCCGGAAUUGCUAGUAAUGGCAGGUCAGCAUACUGCCGUGAAUACGUUCCCGGGCCUUGUACACACCGCCCGUCACACCAUGAGAGUUGGGAAUACCCGAAGCCUUGUGAGCUAACUUUUAGAGGCAGCAGUCGAAGGUAGAAUCAAUGAUUGGGGUGAAGUCGUAACAAGGUACC